AUGUGGUAUCAUAAUCCAAAGUUUUCAUUUGAGCACGGGCUUAAACCUCUUAAUAAUGGUAAUGAUGAUUUUAGAGAUAAUGAGAGGGAAGAAGUGCAUGUUAAGUCGAGGGAAGAAAUUCAUGUUGAGGAGAGUGAAUAUGUUAGCGAGGAAGAUGAAGAUUUUGUGCAAGAUGAUAAUGAUGAUUUUAGGGAUAGUGAAUUCAAUGACUUAGAUGAAGAUGAUUAA
This is a non-coding RNA of Vicia faba (fava bean), 228 nucleotides long. Lineage: Eukaryota; Viridiplantae; Streptophyta; Magnoliopsida; Fabales; Fabaceae. The record is from the annotation of a GenBank genome assembly.